GGUUAAGCGACUAAGCGUACACGGUGGAUGCCCUGGCAGUCAGAGGCGAUGAAGGACGUGCUAAUCUGCGAUAAGCGUCGGUAAGGUGAUAUGAACCGUUAUAACCGGCGAUUUCCGAAUGGGGAAACCCAGUGUGUUUCGACACACUAUCAUUAACUGAAUCCAUAGGUUAAUGAGGCGAACCGGGGGAACUGAAACAUCUAAGUACCCCGAGGAAAAGAAAUCAACCGAGAUUCCCCCAGUAGCGGCGAGCGAACGGGGAGCAGCCCAGAGCCUGAAUCAGUGUGUGUGUUAGUGGAAGCGUCUGGAAAGGCGCGCGAUACAGGGUGACAGCCCCGUACACAAAAAUGCACAUAUUGUGAGCUCGAUGAGUAGGGCGGGACACGUGGUAUCCUGUCUGAAUAUGGGGGGACCAUCCUCCAAGGCUAAAUACUCCUGACUGACCGAUAGUGAACCAGUACCGUGAGGGAAAGGCGAAAAGAACCCCGGCGAGGGGAGUGAAAAAGAACCUGAAACCGUGUACGUACAAGCAGUGGGAGCACGCUUCGGCGUGUGACUGCGUACCUUUUGUAUAAUGGGUCAGCGACUUAUAUUCUGUAGCAAGGUUAACCGAAUAGGGGAGCCGAAGGGAAACCGAGUCUUAACUGGGCGUUAAGUUGCAGGGUAUAGACCCGAAACCCGGUGAUCUAGCCAUGGGCAGGUUGAAGGUUGGGUAACACUAACUGGAGGACCGAACCGACUAAUGUUGAAAAAUUAGCGGAUGACUUGUGGCUGGGGGUGAAAGGCCAAUCAAACCGGGAGAUAGCUGGUUCUCCCCGAAAGCUAUUUAGGUAGCGCCUCGUGAAUUCAUCUCCGGGGGUAGAGCACUGUUUCGGCAAGGGGGUCAUCCCGACUUACCAACCCGAUGCAAACUGCGAAUACCGGAGAAUGUUAUCACGGGAGACACACGGCGGGUGCUAACGUCCGUCGUGAAGAGGGAAACAACCCAGACCGCCAGCUAAGGUCCCAAAGUCAUGGUUAAGUGGGAAACGAUGUGGGAAGGCCCAGACAGCCAGGAUGUUGGCUUAGAAGCAGCCAUCAUUUAAAGAAAGCGUAAUAGCUCACUGGUCGAGUCGGCCUGCGCGGAAGAUGUAACGGGGCUAAACCAUGCACCGAAGCUGCGGCAGCGACACUAUGUGUUGUUGGGUAGGGGAGCGUUCUGUAAGCCUGUGAAGGUGUACUGUGAGGUAUGCUGGAGGUAUCAGAAGUGCGAAUGCUGACAUAAGUAACGAUAAAGCGGGUGAAAAGCCCGCUCGCCGGAAGACCAAGGGUUCCUGUCCAACGUUAAUCGGGGCAGGGUGAGUCGACCCCUAAGGCGAGGCCGAAAGGCGUAGUCGAUGGGAAACAGGUUAAUAUUCCUGUACUUGGUGUUACUGCGAAGGGGGGACGGAGAAGGCUAUGUUGGCCGGGCGACGGUUGUCCCGGUUUAAGCGUGUAGGCUGGUUUUCCAGGCAAAUCCGGAAAAUCAAGGCUGAGGCGUGAUGACGAGGCACUACGGUGCUGAAGCAACAAAUGCCCUGCUUCCAGGAAAAGCCUCUAAGCAUCAGGUAACAUCAAAUCGUACCCCAAACCGACACAGGUGGUCAGGUAGAGAAUACCAAGGCGCUUGAGAGAACUCGGGUGAAGGAACUAGGCAAAAUGGUGCCGUAACUUCGGGAGAAGGCACGCUGAUAUGUAGGUGAAGUCCCUUGCGGAUGGAGCUGAAAUCAGUCGAAGAUACCAGCUGGCUGCAACUGUUUAUUAAAAACACAGCACUGUGCAAACACGAAAGUGGACGUAUACGGUGUGACGCCUGCCCGGUGCCGGAAGGUUAAUUGAUGGGGUCAGCGCAAGCGAAGCUCUUGAUCGAAGCCCCGGUAAACGGCGGCCGUAACUAUAACGGUCCUAAGGUAGCGAAAUUCCUUGUCGGGUAAGUUCCGACCUGCACGAAUGGCGUAAUGAUGGCCAGGCUGUCUCCACCCGAGACUCAGUGAAAUUGAACUCGCUGUGAAGAUGCAGUGUACCCGCGGCAAGACGGAAAGACCCCGUGAACCUUUACUAUAGCUUGACACUGAACAUUGAGCCUUGAUGUGUAGGAUAGGUGGGAGGCUUUGAAGUGUGGACGCCAGUCUGCAUGGAGCCGACCUUGAAAUACCACCCUU
RNAcentral lists this ribosomal RNA (2180 nucleotides) under Escherichia coli. RNAcentral describes it as "partial 23S ribosomal RNA". It matches the Rfam family "Bacterial large subunit ribosomal RNA", at positions 1 to 2207 of the family's 2925-position model. Lineage: Bacteria; Pseudomonadati; Pseudomonadota; Gammaproteobacteria; Enterobacterales; Enterobacteriaceae. The record is from RNAcentral.